RNAcentral lists this long non-coding RNA (693 nucleotides) under Sorghum bicolor (sorghum). RNAcentral describes it as "long non-coding RNA (SBIC_LNC003374)". The record is from RNAcentral. Lineage: Eukaryota; Viridiplantae; Streptophyta; Magnoliopsida; Poales; Poaceae.
AGGUCUUUAAAAACGCGUGGAACAUAAAACAGCUACGUCGCUUUUACCCUUAGAACCUUGUAAAAAAUUUCCGUUUGUUCAUCACCUUAAAAGAAUAAAUGAAAGUCUAAGUUAUACGGCCUUUUUCUAUCAGAGAGCCUCGGACCUGCCUAGCAGAGUCCGAGCCUCCCUCGGGGGCUAUAUGGGGGAAACCCCUAUGGCGACUCCAAAUCUUUCUUCCUUUUUUCCACGAAUUAAAGGAACCCUGACCCAAGGUCUUCCUCCUAUUUUUCUAAAAAGGUUUAAGAAACCGAAAUUUCAUCCCCUGAAUCUUAAGGCAUGAGCCCGAGGUAAGAUCCGCGCUCACGAGCAAAGACGACCUCUACUCACCUUAGGGUCGGAGGGCGGAUCCGGACUUCUAAAAAGCUACUAAGGAAAAAGGAAAAAGACUUAGGCUCGGGGACUCUGGCUAGCGCAAAGUAGCUCACCCGACCUCGCGUUGCCAAGGUCGGGUCGGCAUAAGGAAAAAGAAAACAAGACACUGAGGAAAAAUCUUAAAAGGAAUGGUCAAAUGAAUAUCCAUACUAAGCAUUAACAUUGUAUAUACAAUACAAGGCCCACUGGCCUUAACAUCUACAAAAAGGAAAAAAAAAGAAAUCUAACUUCAAGGGCCUUGCUGCCCUGCCUGCGCAGGCCCUUGAACCCCGAGGGGGG